UUGUAUUGAGCUCUCUUCCAUAGAGUCUACUGUUCGUUUACUGAGAUCAAUCAGCUCAAACUCGAACCCUAGAUUUUGAAGCUUUCGUGCUAAUGAAUUGAUUUCAUCAACCCAAUUCGAAUCAUCGCUUCCGAGUAAGCAGAUCUCUCUCCCUUCCUUCACCUAUUGAGUGUUGAUUGGUUUCAGAAUCUGAUUGAAAGAAUGUUACUUUAUGACAGUAUAAGAGAAAUUUAGAAGUACCCAUGUGUUGAAUUCAGGAUGAAUGCCAUCAAGCAUGAGCUGCAAGGACAAUGUAUGAUCUUCCUCCCAAAGCUCAUCUUCUCUGGAAGCUGUAAAUGGAUACGCUUUACCACCCCA
RNAcentral lists this long non-coding RNA (357 nucleotides) under Brassica rapa (field mustard). Its description in RNAcentral is "long non-coding RNA (BRAP_LNC005478)". Lineage: Eukaryota; Viridiplantae; Streptophyta; Magnoliopsida; Brassicales; Brassicaceae. The record is from RNAcentral.